GACGAACGCUGGCGGCGUGCUUAACACAUGCAAGUCGAACGGGAUCCAACGGCUUUUUGUUUUUGGUGAGAGUGGCGAACGGGUGAGUAACACGUGAGUAACCUGCCCCCUUCUUUUGGAUAACCGCAUGAAAGUGUGGCUAAUACAGGAUAUUCCAGGCUGGUCGCAUGAUUGGUUUGGGAAAUGGUUUGGUCUGGUGGGGGAUGGGCUCGCGGCUUAUCAGCUUGUUGGGGGGGUGAUGGCCUACCAAGGCGGUGACGGGUAGCCGGCCUGAGAGGGUGGGCGGUCACACUGAGACUGAGAUACGGCCCAGAAUCCUACGAGGAGCAGCAGUGGGGGAUUUUGCACAAUGGGCGCAAGCCUGAUGCAGCGACGCCGCGUGAGGGAUGAAGGCCUUCGGGUUGUAAACCUCUUUCGCUGGGUUGAAAGGCCAUGCUUUGGGUGUGGUUGAUUUGAACUAGUAAAGAAGUACCGGCUAACUACGUG
RNAcentral lists this ribosomal RNA (486 nucleotides) under uncultured bacterium. RNAcentral's name for it is "partial 16S ribosomal RNA". It matches the Rfam family "Bacterial small subunit ribosomal RNA", at positions 28 to 507 of the family's 1533-position model. The record is from RNAcentral.